UCCGUAGGGUGAACCUGCGGAGGGAUCAUUACACAAAUAUGAAGGCGGGCUGGAACCUCUCGGGGUUACAGCCUUGCUGAAUUAUUCACCCUUGUCUUUUGCGUACUUCUUGUUUCCUUGGUGGGUUCGCCCACCACUAGGACAAACAUAAACCUUUUGUAAUUGCAAUCAGCGUCAGUAACAAAUUAAUAAUUACAACUUUCAACAACGGAUCUCUUGGUUCUGGCAUCGAUGAAGAACGCAGCGAAAUGCGAUAAGUAGUGUGAAUUGCAGAAUUCAGUGAAUCAUCGAAUCUUUGAACGCACAUUGCGCCCUUUGGUAUUCCAAAGGGCAUGCCUGUUCGAGCGUCAUUUGUACCCUCAAGCUUUGCUUGGUGUUGGGCGUCUUGUCUCUAGCUUUGCUGGAGACUCGCCUUAAAGUAAUUGGCAGCCGGCCUACUGGUUUCGGAGCGCAGCACAAGUCGCACUCUCUAUCAGCAAAGGUCUAGCAUCCAUUAAGCCUUUUUUUCAACUUUGACCUCGGAUCAGGUAGGAUG
RNAcentral lists this ribosomal RNA (535 nucleotides) under Alternaria quercus. RNAcentral's name for it is "eukaryotic LSU rRNA". The stretch from base 197 to 350 matches the Rfam family "5.8S ribosomal RNA". The record is from RNAcentral. Lineage: Eukaryota; Fungi; Ascomycota; Dothideomycetes; Pleosporales; Pleosporaceae.